This 633-nucleotide ribosomal RNA is filed under the name Wolbachia endosymbiont of Thrips palmi. Its description in RNAcentral is "bacterial SSU rRNA". It matches the Rfam family "Bacterial small subunit ribosomal RNA", at positions 197 to 853 of the family's 1533-position model. Lineage: Bacteria; Pseudomonadati; Pseudomonadota; Alphaproteobacteria; Rickettsiales; Anaplasmataceae. The record is from RNAcentral.
CGGGGGAAAAAUUUAUUGCUAUUAGAUGAGCCUAUAUUAGAUUAGCUAGUUGGUGGAGUAAUAGCCUACCAAGGCAAUGAUCUAUAGCUGAUCUGAGAGGAUGAUCAGCCACACUGGAACUGAGAUACGGUCCAGACUCCUACGGGAGGCAGCAGUGGGGAAUAUUGGACAAUGGGUGAAAGCCUGAUCCAGCUAUGCCGCAUGAGUGAAGAAGGCCUUUGGGUUGUAAAGCUCUUUUAGUGAAGAAGAUAAUGACGGUACUCACAGAAGAAGUCCUGGCUAACUCCGUGCCAGCAGCCGCGGUAAUACGGAGAGGGCUAGCGUUAUUCGGAAUUAUUGGGCGUAAAGGGCGCGUAGGCUGAUUAAUAAGUUAAAAGUGAAAUCCCGAGGCUUAACCUUGGAAUUGCUUUUAAAACUAUUAACCUAGAGAUUGAAAGAGGAUAGAGGAAUUCCUGAUGUAGAGGUAAAAUUCGUAAAUAUUAGGAGGAACACCAGUGGCGAGGGCGUCUAUCUGGUUCAAAUCUGACGCUGAGGCGCGAAGGCGUGGGGAGCAAACAGGAUUAGAUACCCUGGUAGUCCACGCUAUAAACGAUGAAUGUUAAAUAUGGGAAGUUUACUUUCUGUAUUACGGCU